Molecule: long non-coding RNA, 844 nt
Organism: Helianthus annuus (common sunflower)
Lineage: Eukaryota; Viridiplantae; Streptophyta; Magnoliopsida; Asterales; Asteraceae
Exons: 2
Source: RefSeq, a predicted model, not a curated record
UUUCCAAGUUCUAACUCUCUACUCCAUCUCUCUACCAACAACAUCGCCUCCUCCUUCCACCACCACCAUCACCGCCGUAACCUACUUCCACCACCACCACCACCGCCGUAAACUCUCAUCCCCACAGCCGGAUCCGGAUCCAGGUCGGAAAUAAUCAGAAUUAAACAUCACUCUUCCUCUAUCUUUCCACCAUCUCCCAUCUCUCUCUCUUCGGGAACCAGAUCUGCAAUGGUGGUUGCAGAUUUGGUGGAAGGUUAGGGUUUGUUCGAAAUAAAAUUUUGGGGUUUUCAUGUACAAAAGAGGAUAACUCAAAUUGACGGUUGAAGGUUGAUGAAGGAUGGUGGCAGGUGGGGUUGAUGGCGGAUAUUGAUGGCAGUCGUUAUUGUUGAAGGAAGGUGGCAGGUGGGUUGAUGUUGGCGGUUGUUGAUGAAGGAUGGUCGCAGGUGGGUGGUGAUCGUUGAAGGUUGAUGAAGGAUGGUGGCAAGUGGUGGUCCGGUGGUAGUGGUGGUUGUUGGGAGCUACGAUGGUGGAGGGUCGCUGAAAACAUGAAUAAUCAAAGCCAAAGCCAAUUUCAGAUCUUGUUCAAGAAGGUGAAUAAGUAUGUUUUUUUCAGCUUUGUUUGGAAAUCUACACUUUGAAGAUGAUGUUUCAGAUGUUGAAGAUGAUUCAAAAGAUGUUUGAUGUUGAACAUAGUUACAAAAUGUAACAAUCAAAGAAAAAAUGCCUGUUACAUUUUUUUUGGGUUAGAAAUGUAACAAUCAAUCAAAGCAAAAAUGCCUGAGAUUUAUGUAGACUUUUGCUGUGUUGAAUCGGAGAAUUUUAUAUGUUAUGGAUUUUUUGGUUU